This 512-nucleotide ribosomal RNA is filed under the name uncultured bacterium. RNAcentral's name for it is "partial 16S ribosomal RNA". It matches the Rfam family "Bacterial small subunit ribosomal RNA", at positions 28 to 507 of the family's 1533-position model. The record is from RNAcentral.
GAUGAACGCUGGCGGCGUGCCUAAUACAUGCAAGUCGAACGAAACUUCUUUAUCACCGAGUGCUUGCACUCACCGAUAAAGAGUUGAGUGGCGAACGGGUGAGUAACACGUUGGCAACCUGCCCAAAAGAGGGGGAUAACACUUGGAAACAGGUUCUAAUACCGCAUAACCAUAGUUACCGCAUGGUAACUAUGUAAAAUGUGUCUAUACUACCGCUUUUGGAUGGGCCCGCGGCGCAUUAGCUAGUUGGUAGGGUAAAGGCUUACCAAGGCAAUGAUGCGUAGCCGAAUUGAGAGGUUGAUCGGCCACAUUGGGACUGAGACACGGCCCAAACUCCUACGGGAGGCAGCAGUAGGGAAUCUUCCACAAUGGGCGAAAGCCUGAUGGAGCAACGCCGCGUGGGUGAAGAAGGUCUUCGGAUCGUAAAGCCCUGUUGUUAGAGAAGAAAGUGCUUGAGAGUAACUGUUCACGUUUCGACGGUAUCUAAACAGAAAGCAACGGCUAACUACGUG